AUCCCAUAAUGAGGGCAUUUACGUAGUAACUCCUUGAAUCUUUCCCAUGCCUUGUAUAAGGACUCGUCAUCCAAUUGUUGAAAAAUGUUGAUCUCAUUCCACAACUU
Molecule: non-coding RNA, 107 nt
Organism: Gossypium hirsutum (cotton)
Lineage: Eukaryota; Viridiplantae; Streptophyta; Magnoliopsida; Malvales; Malvaceae
Source: Rfam